AUACGGAGGGUGCGAGCGUUAAUCGGAAUUACUGGGCGUAAAGGGCGCGUAGGCGGCCUGUCAAGUCAGGGGUGAAAGGCCCGGGCUCAACCCGGGAACUGCCCUUGAAACUGGCAAGCUAGAGUCCGAGAGAGGAUGGCGGAAUUCCCAGUGUAGAGGUGAAAUUCGUAGAUAUUGGGAAGAACACCGGUGGCGAAGGCGGCCAUCUGGCUCGGUACUGACGCUGAGGCGCGAAAGCGUGGGGAGCAAACAGGAUUAGAUACCCCAGUAGUCC
Molecule: ribosomal RNA, 274 nt
Filed under: uncultured bacterium
Lineage: Bacteria
Description: partial 16S ribosomal RNA
Rfam family: Bacterial small subunit ribosomal RNA
Source: RNAcentral